GCCAGGCAUGGUGGCGUGUGCCUGUAAUCCCAGCUACUCAGGAGGCUGAGGCAUUAGAAUCGCUUGAACCCAGGAGGCUGAGGUUGCAGUGAGCUGAGAUUGGGCUACUGCACUCCAGCCUGGGUGACAGAGCAAGACUCUGUCUCAA
Callithrix jacchus (white-tufted-ear marmoset) is the source of this 148-nucleotide unclassified non-coding RNA. It matches the Rfam family "Metazoan signal recognition particle RNA". Rfam says of the family: The signal recognition particle (SRP) is a universally conserved ribonucleoprotein. It is involved in the co-translational targeting of proteins to membranes. Lineage: Eukaryota; Metazoa; Chordata; Mammalia; Primates; Cebidae. The record is from Ensembl.